Long non-coding RNA from Lagopus muta (rock ptarmigan), 1312 nucleotides. RefSeq lists it as uncharacterized. NCBI's taxonomy places the organism in Eukaryota, Metazoa, Chordata, Aves, Galliformes, Phasianidae. The transcript has 5 exons. The record is from RefSeq and is a predicted model, not a curated record.
CUGUGGGUUACUUUGAGUGGAGCCUAUUGUAAUAGUAAUGGGUCUUCCUAUGGGAAGGGUCAGCUGUAUGUAAGCUUUAUCAAACUAGGAUUUUGUAUUUUGAGGCUAAUUGGGAGAUGAGCAGAAGAAAGCCAGUGAUGAUAUGUUGUCAAGGCAGCUCUGAAAAACAAGCUUUCGGAAGGUCACAGGCUUGAGUUUGUAACCUUGCUGCCAUUUGUCUGGAGUUGUACCAAGGAUAUUGAAAUCAUUCAGGUGUUGGAUGUUCGUGACCUUAAUAAACACAUGACACCUUUUAUUAUCUGAAGCUUCAAACCCCACUGCGUGGAAGGAGGAAUGGUGCUAAGUGAGGCAGAAAGGGGAAACGGGAAGGAUCAAGUGUUCUAUAAGGAAAAAAAGAAGAGAUAAUAUUCUGAAGCUUGCAGGAUUCCCAUUGGCGUAUAGGAAGAUAAAGAGUUUCUUCUUUCUUUACUUCUGAUGUCACUUCUGUAAUAAGCUAUGCAUAUCCAUUUCGAUUAUUAUGGUUUUUUUUUUCCCUUCUCUUAAAACCUCUGGAGUGGGGAAUCUGUUUUCCAGGUUCCAGUCAAGUACAGAAUUUAUCCUGGAGUUAUGAACUCCUAAAUACAGAUGUCUAUUAUGAAAAUCCUGGAAAAUACAUGCAAAUGUAAUUCUAUAGUGAAAUGUUAUGAAUAUCCUACAUGCUUCUACUUGUUCUUGUCAUUUGUACAAAUAUUACAUACAGGAGGGAAAAAGAAAUCUGUCACUGUAAGACAUGACUUCCAAGGAACUGCAGUAACAUGUUUUUAACAAUUUAUUUCUAGGAAAAUGUGGAAGUUGCAGUUAGUCUAUUCAACUGUACUGUGUUAGCAAUUAAAACACACAUUAAAAAUCUCGUUUAGCUCUGAGCUCCCUUAAUUUGACUUAACUUUCCUAGAAUAUUGUAUGGAAGACAGCACAAGGUUCACUUUAAUUGGAUUAUGUUGGAAAAAGCUGCCACAAGAUGCUCUGGACCAAAUUCCCUGGCUGACUUAGACCAUAAUCCUUCUUGCAGAGUGGGUGGGAAAUGCUAUCAUUUUUUGACAUGAUUACAUUUUAUACCUACUUUACUUAUGUACAAGUGUUACAGCAAAGUAAAGACUGACUCCUGACAACGUAAUAUAAAGAGAAAUAAGGUAUUCAGCCAAGAUCAGGUAAAUGCCUGGGGCGUUAUCAGUAUGGGACUGAUAACUUUAUUUUCAUUUCUAAGCAAAGUCUAAUGAUUUCUUGGCCUGAAUAAAUAACAGGUGAUGUAGUUCUACUUAAAGAAGAAGCUAUC